GAGUACUCGACGUGUCAAAAGAGAAUCCUAGAGAGUUGGUGAAUACGUAUAGACUCGCCGAGUCGCCCUAGUGCACUCGCCGAGUCCGGUCAAAGUUGACCGUUGACCGUUGACCAGAGUUGACUUGAUAGGGGUAGUCAGCCUUAGUGGUAAAAGUGUUAAUUAAGAGAUAUAUGAUGUUAUAGGAGGAUUAUAGCUCGGAGGAUCGAGCACGAGUGAUUUCCAGGAUUCGCGAGUUAUCGAGAUACACGAGGUGAGUCUUCUCACUAUACUUUACCUUGAGUAGGUAAUCAGAGUUAUGUGUCAGAGUAUGUGUAUGUUAUGUGUAUGCUAUGUGUUGUACUGCAUGAUGUCUAUGUGAUUUAUGUUGUGCAUGUUUAUAGAGUUGGAACCGGAAGGUUCCCAGAGUUAGAACCUGAGGGUUCACAGAGCUUGGGUGCACGGACCCAUAGAGUUAUAGCCUCGAGUGGCUAAUAUGUGUUUAUGUGGUAUUUUGGGGAACUCACUAAGCUUUGUGCUUACAGUGUUAGUGUUGUUUGUUUCAGGUACUAGUGAUGACCGUGGGAAGGCGCCGACUUGAUCUGUACACACGCAAGGGAUUUUUAUAAUAUGUGAUCUUGGGAUUUUGUAUGAUAUGGAUUGGAGUUUUAAACUUGAUGUUUUAUGAAAAUUAAAUGAAAAAGUUUUUAUAUUAUGCGAAAAAUUAUUUUGAAAUUCACGGUGUUACAAUUUGGUAUCAGAGCCUUGGUUUGAGGGAUUCGAGUACACCUUCGGGCGUAUUAGAACUCAAACUGAGGAUUUGAGAAGUAUUUUCAAAAAGUGUAAAAGAUUUUGGAAAGAAACGCUGAGCAGAGUUGUAUGUACGAUCAGUCCGCGCCCGAACGCUGAUUUCCCAAAAUACCCUCAUGUUAUGUGCUAUUGAUAUUGAUAUGAUGUAUUCGCAUGCUAGAGUAGGCUAGGUAUUCCUAUUAGGACUAGAGUGGCCUGAUUUGUGAUGCCUUAGCCUAGGAAGAGGUGAGCUGCUAUGAGAUGCUUGAGAGUGAGUAGGUAGCAGCGAGGGGCUUAUGAGAGAUCUAUUAGAGAGUGGCCUAUGCAUGAUAGAGUACUUGGAAUUUGGGAUCCGAAGAGGAGGACUUGGGGUGUAUUCUGAUACGGUGCGGACAGUAGUAUUGGGCCCGUACUACUGAAAGCACCGGAGCGGUGUACAGCCCAAGUAAGAAUCUUUGGAAUACCAAGGAUCAAGGAGGAAUGAGUUGUCGAGUGUGAGUAUGCUCGAAUGGGUUCUAAUUUAUCGUAUGUUGUAUUUCAGAGGUAGAUCAUGGUGAGGACACGUUUGAUGCCUGAGAGCAGUGAUACCAGUGAUGAGGAGAUCCGCCGGAUCAUCCACGAGGAGGUGGCUGCGGCCAUCAGGGCAGAGAUACCAGAGAUGUUCGGGUCUAUUAAGACCACGCUGAUUGAGACCUUUGACGAGCGUUAUGCCGCUCUUUCUGAGGCUGCUGUUGCAGCGGCCACCGCAGCUAUUGCUGCCGCGAGGCCGCAAGGUGGUGAUGCGUUGCUGUUCCGGGAGUUCAGCAACACAAAACCACCAGAGUUUGAUGGGACCCAGGAUCCGGUGGCAGCUAUGAGGUGGAUUUCUGAUAUAGAGGGGUGUUUCUUCACUUGCUCAUCUCCUGAGCAUUUGAAGGUUCGGUUCGCGCUGAACCAGCUUCGCUUGGGAGCGAAGGACUGGUGGAAGUUUGUGACGGCGCAUUUUACGCCUGCUGAGCUUGCGGCAGUGACCUGGGAGAGGUUCACUGCCAUGUUCCGAGAUGAGUACGUUCCCCAGGUGGAGAGGGAGCGUUUGGCCCAGGAGUUUCUGACCCUCAAGCAGGGUACUGAGUCUGUUACGGUGAUUACCAGGAUGUUCCAUGAGAGGGCGAUGUUCUGCCCUGAGCACGUGUCCACUGAGCAGGCACGUAUGAGCCGAUAUUUGAGUAUUUUGAGGCGAGACAUUCGGGAGUUCGCGGCGAACUCCUCGUACCGGACAUUUGCUGAGCUUCAAGCAAAUGCCCGGAAGAGGGAGAUUGAGCUAGAGACUCAGGCCAGGGAGGAGGCGGAGUCUCAGGGGAGGGAUCGGCGACCGGCACAGUCUCAGCCGGCAGCCAAGCGGGCCAAGCCCGCUGAUCCCAAACCAGGGAGCCAGAAGGGCCGCACUUGUGGGAAGUGUGGCAAGGGUCAUGAUGGAGUCUGCAGAGCGGGAUCUUGCUACAAGUGUGGCAAGGAGGGGCAUAUGGCCAAGGACUGCCCCAAGGGGUUUGCGGUGUGUUUUCACUGCAACCAGACCGGACACCGGAAGGCAGAGUGUCCGCAGUUGCGAGGAUCAGCUCAGGGAGCACCUCAGGGAUCUGCCCCUGCCGCCAUCAGAGCUACCGAGAGUCGGCCAGUGAAGGCCGAGGCGCCGAGGGCACGAGGGAGAGCCUUUCAGUUGACCGCGGAGGAGGUCCGCGCAGCGCCCGAUGUCGUGGCUGGUAUGUAUUCUUUCAUGUAUUUAUUUUGAUGUUGAGAUAUUAUGCUUAUAUUAUGUUAUGCGUAGGUACUUUUCUUGUGAAUUCUGUACCUGCCUUGGUGUUAUUUGACUCGGGUGCGAGUCGGUCUUUUGUAUCUUUGGCUUUUAGUCAGCAUAUCAGUGUUAGUCGUGAGGCGUUGAGUCGGCCUCUGAGAGUUUCCAUAGCUGAUGAGAGGGUGAUAUAUGCCACGGAGGUUCUCCGAGGUUGCGUAGUCGAGAUUUUCGGUGUUGAGUUCCCGAUUGAUCUGGUUCCUAUUGCGAUGGGUGAUGUCUGUGUCAUUGUGGGCAUGGACUGGUUGAGCAGAUUCGGUGCGGUUAUCGACUGCGAGCGACAGCUGGUGACCAUACGAGACCCUAGUGGGGGAGUUCUUACGGUGUACGGCGAGGGUACACGUUCUGGAUCAGCGUUUUGUUCGGCCGCUAGGGCGAGGCAGUGUCUACAGCAGGGCUGUAAGGGUUUUGUGGCGUAUGUGAUGGAUACGCGGGUGGAUUCCGAGAGACCGAGGUCAGUUGAGGAGGUUCCGGUAGUGCGUGAGUUCCCGGAUGUAUUUCCUGAGGAGUUGCCGGGUGUGCCUCCUGUGAGGCAAGUGGAGUUCAGUAUCGAUUUGGUUCCGGGGGCCGCGCCUAUCGCUAAGGUGCCUUAUCGCCUUGCACCUCCAGAGAUGCAAGAGUUAUCCUCGCAGCUUCAGGAGCUGCUGGGGAAGGGGUUUAUUCGGCCGAGCAGCUCGCCGUGGGGAGCGCCUAUCCUGUUUGUCAAGAAGAAGGAUGGUUCACACCGGAUGUGCAUUGAUUACCGGGAGUUGAACAAGCUGACGGUCAAGAACCGUUACCCGUUGCCGAGGAUCGACGAUUUAUUCGAUCAGUUGCAGGGAGCAUCUUGGUUCUCCAAGAUCGAUUUGAGGUCUGGAUAUCAUCAGGUGAGGGUGCGGGAUGAGGACGUCCAGAAGACAGCGUUCAGGACGCGUUAUGGGCAUUAUGAGUUUGUGGUGAUGCCUUUUGGGCUCACCAAUGCCCCGGCAGUGUUCAUGGAUCUCAUGAACCGAGUGUGUAGGCCGAUGCUGGAUCGGUCGGUGAUUGUAUUUAUCGACGACAUUCUGGUAUAUUCGAGAUCUAGAGAGCAGCAUGAGGAGCAUUUGAGAGAGGUUCUCGGAGUUCUGAGAUCGGAGAGGCUUUAUGCCAAAUUCUCCAAGUGUGAUUUCUGGUUGCGGGAGGUCCAGUUCUUAGGACAUCUCGUUAACCAGGAAGGGAUAUUGGUCGAUCCGGCCAAGGUUGAGGCGGUGAUGAGUUGGGAGGUGCCGAGGUCACCCUCCGAGAUCAGGAGUUUCCUAGGGUUGGCAGGGUAUUAUCGGAGAUUUAUCAAGGAUUUCUCUAAGAUCGCAGUGCCACUCACCAGGUUGACCCGGAAGGGUGUUGCUUUUUCAUGGGGCCCCGAGCAGCAGGCCUCCUUUGAGACACUUCGCCAAAGGUUGUGCGAAGCCCCGGUGUUAGCCCUCCCGGAAGGGAUGGAGGACUUUGUGGUAUACUGUGAUGCAUCGAUUUUGGGGUUGGGAGCGGUGCUGAUGCAGAGAGGGCAUGUGAUAGCAUAUGCAUCGAGGCAGCUGAAGCCUCAUGAGACGAGAUAUCCCACCCAUGAUCUAGAGUUGGGGGCAGUGGUGUUCGCCCUCAAGAUUUGGCGUCACUACUUGUAUGGGGUUCGGUGUACGAUAUACACGGACCAUAAGAGUUUGAAGUAUUUGAUGGAUCAGCCCAACCUAAAUAUGCGUCAGAGAAGGUGGUUGGAUGUGGUCAAGGAUUAUGAUUGUGAGAUCCUGUACCACCCAGGCAAGGCUAAUGUGGUAGCCGAUGCAUUGAGCCGCAGGGCGGAGAGCACCCCGCUGCGGGAGGUAUGUUUGAGAUUGACCGUGAUAGCUCCAGUGUUGGACGCCAUUCGUGGGGCACAGGCCGAGGCUGUGCAACCUGAGAUGCAGAAGAGGGAACGGGUUGUUGGUUUGGUUUCAGAGUUCGUUACCGAUGGUCGGGGGCUUAUGACAUUUCAGGGGCGUAUCUGGGUGCCGUUUGUGGGAGGAACGCGUACCAUUUUGAUGGAGGAGGCUCAUCGGUCGAAAUUUUCGAUCCAUCCGGGGGCCACUAAGAUGUAUUUGGAUUUGAGAAAGGAGUAUUGGUGGCCCUGUAUGAAGAGGGAUGUCGCGUGGUUUGUUGAGAGGUGCUUGACCUGUCGUAGGGUUAAGGCCGAGCACCAGAGGCCGCAUGGUAAGUUGCAGCCAUUGGAGGUUCCCGAAUGGAAGUGGGAACAGAUCACUAUGGAUUUCAUCACCAAAUUGCCAAGGACUGCCAGAGGAGUUGAUGCAAUUUGGGUGAUUGUGGACAGGUUGACGAAGAGCGCUCACUUCCUUGCUAUCAGCGAGAGUUCUUCAGCAGAGAAAUUGGCGGAGGUGUAUGUGAGGGAAGUGGUAUCUCGGCAUGGGGUGCCGAUCUCGAUUGUUUCAGACCGUGAUGUGCGCUUCACUUCCAGAUUCUGGAAGAAGUUUCAUGAGGAGUUGGGUACUAGACUGCAUUUUAGUACCGCAUAUCAUCCCCAGACAGACGGUCAGAGUGAGCGGACGAUUCAGACGCUCGAGGACAUGCUCCGGGCAUGUGUGUUGGAUUUCGGGGGUAGCUGGGAUGCAUAUUUGCCCUUGGCAGAGUUUUCCUACAACAACAGCCAUCAUUCGAGCAUUGGUAUGCCACCCUUUGAGCUGUUGUAUGGGAGGAGGUGUCGGACCCCCAUUUGUUGGGGAGAGGUUGGACAGCGGGUGAUGGGCAGUACAGAGAUCGUGCUUCAGACGACAGAGCAGAUUCAGCAGGUCAGACAGAGGUUGUUGACCGCUCAGAGCCGACAGAAGAGUUAUGCAGACAGACGCCGGUCCGAGCUUGAGUUUCAGGUCGGCGACCUUGUUCUCCUGAAGGUCUCUCCUUGGAAAGGAGUGAUUCGAUUCAGGAAGAGGGGCAAGUUGGGGCCCCGAUAUAUUGGGCCAUUCCGUGUGAUCGCGAGGGUAGGCCGGGUAGCCUAUCGUUUGGAUUUGCCAGCAGAGUUGGGGCAGAUUCACGACACUUUUCAUGUGUCGCAGCUGAGGAAGUGUAUAGCCGAUGAGUCGGCAGUGGUUCCAUUAGAGGAUAUUCAGGUGGAUGCGAGCCUGAAUUAUGCUGAGAGACCAGUGGCCAUCAGAGAUCGGAAAAUCAAGGUUCUGAGGAACAAGGAGGUACCCCUGGUGUUGGUUCAGUGGCAGCAUCGGAAGGGAUCAGAGAUGACCUGGGAGCCGGAGCGUGAGAUGCGUGAGCAGCAUCCGGAGCUAUUUGCAGAGCGAGACUUCGAGGGCGAAGUCUAGUUCUAGUGGGGGAGAAUUGUAACAGCCCGGAUUUCCAGGUAUCUUUUAUGCUUAUAUUUUUGGAGUUUUGUGAGGGGACUCGGCGAGUUGGAGCUCAAACUCGCCGAGUAGGAUCGCGGUUCAGGACGCGGGUUCGCGCCUGGACUCGGCGAGUCCAAGGUAUGGACUCGGCGAGUCCGCGCUGUUUAAUGAAACCCUAAUUUCUCGGGUUUGGGACCUAUUUAAAGGGCCUUAAGGCCGUCAUUUGUGCUCACCAGUCCCCUGAGUGAAACCCUAGCGAGUUUGAGCGUUUGGAGCAAAGCAAGGAGCCAUUAUUGACCUUGGAGGUGUUAUAUUGCAAGGGAAAGGAAGCAAUAGCUAAGGGGAAUCAAGAGGAGCCACUUCCUGAAGAUUUGAGGUCCAGAACAUCACAUUUGAGGUACUACCUUCGAGCUAUUCUCUGUUAUGUUGAUGUUUAUAUUGAUUUAGGGCUUAUUGAGCCCUUUUGUGGCUAGAUCUAGUGCUUCCUUGGUCCCUUAAGCGAGUUAGGUUCUAGAUCUGGACCUUUGGAGGUCCAGAGUGUCCCUUUGCCCAAGCUUUUUAUGAAUCCAUGGGGGUUUUGGAUUGGGGUCUUUGUGCUUAAGGUCAAAACACCAUUUAUGAGUCAUGGGGUGUGUUAUGAGCACCAAGAUAUGGACUUUACGUGAUGAAUAAGCUUAGGAGGGCCAGAUCUAUGAGUUGUUGGAGCGGAUCUGACCUCAGAAGCAAGUUUGAGUUGAUGCAUGGCAUGGACUCGCCGAGUCUGAAGAACAGACUCGGCGAGUAGCAUGAAGAUUGUCCUUAACCACUCAGUGAGUGGUCCAGCCGAGUUAUGAGUUGACUCAGUGAGUCAGGGAGAGUUAGAGAGGGUUGACAGGUGGACUGAGUCGAACUGGAACUCGCCGAGUUGUUCUUGAGACUCGGCGAGUUGAGUCGGGGUGGCCCCGCGAUUCAUACCAGGUGGAACUCAUCGAGUCAGGGGAAUACUCGACGUGUCAAAAAGGGAAUCCUAGAGAGUUGGUGAAAACGCUUAGACUCGCCGAGUCGCCCUAGUGCACUCGCCGAGUCCGGUCAAAGUUGACCGUUGACCGUUGACCAGAGUUGACCAGUGUUGACUUGAUAGGGGUAGUCAACCUUAGUGGUAAAAGUGUUAAUUAGAGACAUAUGAUGUUAUAGGAGGAUUAUAGCUCGGAGGAUCGAGCACGAGUGAUUUCCAGGAUUCGCAAGUUAUCGAGAUACACGAGGUGAGUCUUCUCACUAUACUUUACCUUGAGUAGGUAAUCAGAGUUAUGUGUCAGAGUAUGUGUAUGUUAUGUGUAUGCUAUGUGUUGUACUGCAUGAUGUCUAUGUGAUUUAUGUUGUGCAUGUUUAUAUAGUUGGAACCGGAAGGUUCCCAGAGUUAGAACCUGCGGGUUCACAGAGCUUGGGUGCACGGACCCAUAGAGUUAUAGCCUCGAGUGGCUAAUAUAUGUUUAUGUGGUAUUUUGGGGAACUCACUAAGCUUUGUGCUUACAGUGUUAGUGUUGUUGUUUCAGGUACUAGCGAUGACCGUGGGAAGGCGCCGGCUUGAUCUGUACACACGCAUGGGAUUUUUGAUAUAUAUAUGAUCUUGGGAUUUUGUAUGAUGUG
RNAcentral lists this long non-coding RNA (7557 nucleotides) under Lactuca sativa (garden lettuce). RNAcentral's name for it is "long non-coding RNA (LSAT_LNC007138)". The record is from RNAcentral. Lineage: Eukaryota; Viridiplantae; Streptophyta; Magnoliopsida; Asterales; Asteraceae.